AUCGGGAGCAGCAGAUUAACCAGCUGAACCACUCAAGUUCCAAUCAACGCAACGCAGCAAACGUCACACACGCGACGCAGAGAGGAGAAUAUCAGGUGCCUAAUUGAGCUCCAAGCAGGUACGAGAGAGUAGUUUGAAACGGCACAGCAAACGCUGGAAAGACCUCGCUCUGUGUUGUGCGAACCUGAGAGUCUACGAAGUCUGGAGAGGCAGCCGGUUUUUUUUUACCUAAUGGCUGAGUGACUAAUGAAAUGGCAAAUGGACAAAUGCUGCUAAACUGAAAAUAAAAAGAAAAGGAGAAGUGAAAACGUA
Molecule: long non-coding RNA, 312 nt
Organism: Clupea harengus (Atlantic herring)
Lineage: Eukaryota; Metazoa; Chordata; Actinopteri; Clupeiformes; Clupeidae
Source: RefSeq, a predicted model, not a curated record